AUUGAACGCUGGCGGCAGGCCUAACACAUGCAAGUCGAACGAGUGGCGGACGGGUGAGUAAUGUCUGGGAAACUGCCAGAUGGAGGGGGAUAACUACUGGAAACGGUAGCUAAUACCGCAUACCAUCGGAUGUGCCCAGAUAGGAUUAGCUUGUAGGUGAGGUAACGGCUCACCUAGGAGACGAUCCCUAGCUGGUCUGAGGGGAUGACCAGCCACAUUGGAACUGGGACACGUGCCAGACUCCUACGGGAGGCAGCAUUGGGGAAUAUUGCACAAUGGGCGCAAGCCUGAUGCAGCCAUGCCGCGUGUAUGAAGAAGGCCUUCGGGUUGUAAAGUACUUUCAGCGGGGAGGCGUUACCCGCAGAAGAAGCACCGGCUAACUCCGUGCCAGCAGCCGCGGUAUAC
Molecule: ribosomal RNA, 405 nt
Filed under: uncultured bacterium
Lineage: Bacteria
Description: partial 16S ribosomal RNA
Rfam family: Bacterial small subunit ribosomal RNA
Source: RNAcentral